This is a long non-coding RNA of Anolis carolinensis (green anole), 1754 nucleotides long. RefSeq lists it as uncharacterized. The transcript has 2 exons. The record is from RefSeq and is a predicted model, not a curated record. NCBI's taxonomy places the organism in Eukaryota, Metazoa, Chordata, Lepidosauria, Squamata, Anolidae.
AAAUCUUCAACAUACAGUCACAACUAAACACACUAUUUUGUUUAGAUGUCCCCAUUUUCUGACCCACCCAAAUCUGCCAAAGGGAAAACAUUAAAUUUUUCCUGAGUAAAUGUUCUUCUUAUCUUGAUAUUUGACAGAUUUAUCAGGUACAUUGGAAGUGACAAAUAUGAAAGUGUGAAAAAGGCAUAAAAAGUAUUAGAUUGACGAAUCGUAAUCCCAGCUAUCAGAUAUAGCAUCUGUAUAUCCUUGAUGCACUAGGAUCAGUUUAGCUCCAUCAUAUCCUUGAGGUAAAAGAGGUCAAAAAUUCAAAAUGCAUAGGAACCAGCUGCAUUUUUUGCUUCCAUGGACCGAUGCCCCCCAAUACUGAUCAAAAACGUUGUGAAACCCACUUAACAAUAGCCUUCAACUAUACAACUUAACAAUAACUUUUAGACCAAAGAGCAAAGCUAAUAAUAAUUACACUUCGUUCAGCAUGAACUAAUCCUCAUUUGGCAGAUAUAGGAACUGUCAGUGUGUUAUGUUUUUUAAAAAAUGACUCCUUUCUAACAAACUUAGAUUCACUGUGGCCAAAAGACGAUGUCAAUAUACCAGUUUUGAGGUGACAGUACAGUUCUGAACGAGCUUUCCAUCUUGUUUCAUAGAAUUAUAAUAGUUCAUUUAAGGUUCUAAUGAAUAACACAAUAAAAAUAAAAUUGUUUCUACGUUACAAACCUAAUGUUAUGAUUGAGCCUCAUGGCUCUGUUACUGACAGACGUGGGCGUAAGACUCCUCGAGAGUCAGAUACUCUCGAGGAGCGAGAGAGAAAAAGACUGCGAGACAUAUUUGCAGCACCAUCUGACGAAGAGUCUUUCGAGGGGUUUACGGAGAGAAUGGAGGAGGGGCUGGUUAGCUCGGAGGAGGAUGAGAUGGAUUGGACUCGGGUAAGGGAGGAAUUGGGUGCCACUGGCCAUGAUGGGAUAGAAGAUGAAUGGGGACCUUCAGGAUUAGACCCAUGGCUUAGCUGGAGGGAUGGGACGGGAUCCACAGCUGGAGAUGCUGCUGGGCGUAGUCAGAGGUGUUCCAGCUCUGACGAGGAAAGUGAUGAGGAAACGCCCGGGUUAAGGAGGACAGCUGACAGUGAUGAGGAUUUGUAACUGGCAUAAAAUGGGGCUUGGGAGCAAUUGCAAAUUGCGUUGGGCAAGGUAAUCUGGACAAACGCUUGGGAUCUGUGUGUGUGGGACGCUUUCCUGAAGACUGGUGUGUUUUCCUGUGCUGAGACCUUGACCUUCCGUCGUCUUCUUGACGGACGCCAUCUCCUGCUUUGAAAACUCGGACUGAACUGACCACGGCUUGUCUUCCCCCCUUCUUGGACUUGGAAAACUACAAACGUCUGCUUCUGGCUUUGAUCUACGGAACGGAACUGGUCUACUCUACUGCUACAAUCCUUGGCUGAUCUGCUCGUGUUGGAAAUCCUGUCUGCUGUGUGUGUGUGGGAGCGACGCAAGUUACUCUAAGCACAGUGUUGGCAGCAGAGAGGAAUCUGCUGCCAAUUAGUUGCAUUCUUUGUAUCUUUUGUUCCUUGGCUUUCGUUUUGUUUAUCUCCAGGCUGAAGCAAGCAGUUUGUUUUUACCCGGAUUAAACUCCGGUUUAAUCCGGUUUAUCUUUUGAACAUUUAUUUUUGUCCCUUUUUGCUCCUAAAGGCAAAUACUGCCUGGCCCUUGUGUUUUACGGGCAUUUUUUGAGUUCUGUAAUCUAAUAAACUCUGUUACUUUGAA